Molecule: long non-coding RNA, 4170 nt
Organism: Orcinus orca (killer whale)
Lineage: Eukaryota; Metazoa; Chordata; Mammalia; Artiodactyla; Delphinidae
Exons: 3
Source: RefSeq, a predicted model, not a curated record
GGUCAAUGACAUGACCUUCAUGUGGAGAAGGCAACCAUGGUGUGGCACAGUGGGUGAUGACGGGCUGCUCAUCAAGGACUGGGCAGAGAAGGAUGGAGUCUCAAAGGCGGUUUGCCUGCUUCUCUUCCAGACCCUGGCUCUGGGGAGUCCACUCGGACACUCUAACUAACGUGUCUCAGCCCAGAUUCCUAACACCUGCCAAGCUGUGUGGUCACCUGCCUGGGCCUCCAGGCGCUCGUCAAAUGGGAACUUGAAAGGCUUCGAGAUCUCCAGAUAAAUCAAGCAAGAUCUGAGGGCUGGACAUGACUCUCCUUAAUGUCUGUGGCGCCUUGAAAGCACCUUCUCAACGCGUCUGGGUCCACAUGACAACGGAGCAGCUUUGUGGAAUCUUAGGCUGCUUUCCUCCUCCAAAGGCCUCCAAGAACCAGGACUGGGGAUGGCUGUACCCUGCGAAUCUGCUCACAUGGCAGCCAGGAAGUCCGAGAAGGCCGUCCAUGGGCUGCUUCCGUUCCCAGAGCCACGUCUCCCACCGUGCUCCUGGCAGCCUGGCCUUGUGUGCUGCUGGCCCGCACAGCCUCCAGAGGAGGUCUGCCUUCCUGGCGCCUUUGAUUCUGGUAAGGCUCUCUGUUCAGCUGCUCUGACGGUGAUAACACAACAUCACUAAAAACAAAGGAAGCAUGCUUGUCUCUUGAAGCAGUCGCAUUCCGAAGGGAAGUUUCCAAGCUUCCGGGGGAGCCUUUGUUUCAUCGGUGGGCCUGGGUGACUCAGGUCUGUGAUGGCCCCCACCCAGCCUGGGGGAGCAGGCAGGGCUAGGAGGGAGAUGCCUGCCUCUCAACCUCAGCUCUGCUACCAAGCUACCCUGUCACUUGAUGCUCGUUUUUUUUCCAGAUGUAAGUGUUCCCACCUGUAAAAUCAGGGAGCUGGGCUGAAGCACAUUUCUCCUGUGAUCAUUUGUCUUUCGGGGCAGUGGUUGUCAAAGUUAGUGGGCAAGGGUUGGUCACCUGGGCCCAUCCCCAGAGCUUUGAUUCUGUUCUUCCAAGUAGGGCUUGAGAACCUUACAUUUAACAAGUUCCCAGGUCAGGCUGAUGGCGUUUGUCAGGAACAUACUUUGAGAACCAGCUCCAGGGCAAUAAUAUACAUUUAUGGAAAAGUGGACUUUUUCAUAUGGAUCCGAAGUUCAGGCCUGGUAUCCUUAAUUGAUUUUGGGCAGUUUCCUGUGGAUUUUACAUGUUAAAAUGUAAACUAUCAAGAGAGUGGCAUAAUGAGUUCUGUUAAUAUAUGUCUUUUCUUCACCUUUAUAAGUAGCCUGAAACUGAAUAUGGUAUUAACUAGACCCAUGAUUAAUGGGCUUUUCCAUAAGUUGGCCUGGGGCUAUGUCCUAACAAUGGGAAGAUAAGCAAUAGUUAUCCAAUCCUGAACACCCUAUGGCAAGUUUCUGACAUACAGUUUAAAAGUGUAGGUAAGAAUAAAUUGUAUUUUUUAAAUUCUAAGUUAUUGUCCUUAACUUUGUCAAAGCAAAUCGUGAUUAUAUCUAGAUUUUGAGUAUUUGAGGUAAUCUGGGUGCAUAUUCAGUGCUUAGUGUAAACUUUAUCUUAUUUGAUCUUUAUGCCAACCCAGUGAGGGAAAUUCUAUUAUUCUAGCCUAUUAGGAUCCUUGGUGAAGUACACUGAGGGUGCAGAGGAUCGAUCGCUUGUUCCAGCUCAAGCAGUUAAGAAGUGAUAAAGAUGUUAAUCCUAAAUUUGUCAGACUGUGGAUUCGUUUUCAAAGUGCGUCCCUGGCCAGAAGCAUCAGCAUCACUUGAAAAUUUGUUAGAAAAGCAAAUAUUCAAGCCUCACCCCAGCCCUUUGGAAUCAGAACUCUGGAGCCAGCAGUCUAUUCCAACAAGCCCUCCAGGUGAGGCUGACGUAUGCUGAAGUUUGAGAAUUGCUGUUCAGGAAAUCAAGCCUUUAACCACUGUACAACCCACUUUCUCAAACACACAUUCUGUGGGAAAUCAAAUCAUGAUUAGUCCUGGUGCUUAAUGAGCCAUUAAGUGUCUGUAUCCACGAGCAGAUUGAAAUUAAAGGCUGAGCCUCUCAUCCUGGGUAUGGGCUUCUGGAAUCCACCCAAAUAGGUCAAAACAAUGUUCUCUCCUUUGUGCCCUGCCAACCACACACAGACUUUCCUCAGAGCUGUUGGCACAAUUCCUUGGAUGGGUAUUUGCUUUCUGCUCUUUCUGCCUUUGCCAGUGUAGAUAAGAUCCACAUCCCCUUAGUCUAUUUUAAUUUAUAAAUAUUUUAGAACCAGUCUAUAACUUGGCUGUCAUACAGAGCGAGCAAUCUGAGAAGGGGGAAAAAGAGUGAUUAAAGAUAAAUCUUCAUUGUUGAAUUCUUCAGUGAAGGCAACUUGAUUAAUUGAUAAAACAAAUAAUAGCAAAAUGGAUACUGAAAAAAUAAAUUCAGGAGGCUGAUGCAGAAAUUAAUUUGGAACCCAGUUUCAAGAGACAAAUGUGAGGGAAAAUUAGAUGAGGAUGGUGAACUACACCUACUCUCAUUCUCAUCUCCAAUUCCAAAUCCUGAAAAGUUACAGAAAAGGUAUUUUAUAAAAUCAAUAUUAGAGCCAGAAAACGAACAAACAAAAAAUACAUUUCUAUAAUGGAUCAGAAACUAUGAGGAAUCCUUAAAAGACAGAAAGUGAAUGGGAUCAUUUUGCAGAAGGGAACUAUAAGCCAAAUUCACACAGAAAAGGACUUUUGCAAAAGGUGGAUGCAGCCCACCAGGUGUUUGAAGCCCCAAAGGUGGUGAAUCAGGAGCCAGAAGGGAAUCUGGGGAGACCGACAGGGUGAUUGGCUGGGCACAAAAGGAGCAGCCAGGGGUGCAGACCCUCCCCUCUCCCCACCCUGCUGCUUCUGUCAAUCAGGAGAGGGUGUGAGUUGAGUACCUGAGCCCAAGAGUCGGGGUAGUGACCUGAAUGUCUGGAAAUACCCAAGAGGCGCUGGGAAGCUCCUCACCCAGGAGAAUAAUGAGGAGUAAUGAGUGGAACCCUUGGCCUAUUGGUUCAUCCCAAGCCUCUGCUGCUGGGUCACAGCAACUAGUCCCAGCAUAGAGGAAUGCCAGAUUCAAAGAUGAGCGAUACCAAGAGUUACCAAGCAGCUGAGGAAGCCCAGGACCAGCAAGAGAGGAGCCAACAUCUGCAAACAAGAUGUGCGAGAUUCUGUGUUGGGAUAAUUCAAGUUCUCAGAGAGAGCCAAGACACUGUUGAUCCCCAUGAAACAAGCAUAGGCUGCUAUUAUAAAGAAAUGAUCACGAUUCUUUAAAAAAUGUAUGUAUGUAUGUAUACACAUAUACAUACACAAAGCUAUUAUUGUAAAAAAACUUACUAUAUACUCAAUAUGCUGCAUGGUCAAACAGACAUAAGUAAAGAAAAAUCAAGCUAAGAAAUUUUUCCUGAGCAUAAAACAAAGGAAGAGUUGGGUAUAAUAACUUAAAAGUUAAGAAAUGUGAAUAGAUGUCGAAGUUCUAAAAUUUAUUAGCAAAGUUCUAGAAGGUACAAAUGUGAGAAGUAUAGGAGAGGGAAUAUUAAAAAUAAAUACAAAAUUUUCCAAAGCUUAAGGGAAAAAGAUGAACACUUAGAAGAGUCCACUGAGUGCCAAGCUAUAAAGAAAAAGUAACUUAAAAAAAAUUUGUGAUAAAUUUGAUGACAUCAAAGUUGAAAGUUCUUAGAUGAUGAGACACUGUAAUCGUAGUUAAAAGACAAACCAUAGACUAGAAGAAAAUGUUAGCAAUUUAUAAAAUGUAUCAAUCUCCAGAAUAUAUAAAGUACUUUUCUGUCAUCAAUGAGAAAACAAAUAGUCAAAAACUAGGCAAAAGAUGAAAGCAGACAGUUCACAGGAAAGGGAAGGCAGAUUGACAACAAACAUGAAAAGCUAUGUAGCCUCCUCCAUGACCAAGGACAUGCAAGUUAAAACAGCAAGGAAACCGUUGGUUUGCUCAUCAUAUUUAUAAAAAUUGAAAAGGAAUGUGGGUAUUAUUGGUGAAAGUAUCAAUCGGCAAAUCCUCUUGAGGAACUUUUUGGCAUUAUCUGUUAAAUUUUAAAUGUACGUUUCUUAUCUUGACAUUUCUAAAUCUAAGUAGCCAUUUUAGAGAAACACUACACAUCCAUCAAGAUGUUCAUUGCCGUAUUGUUUAAGGU